CAGAGGGCGCGUGCGUCAUCCCUGCCCUCUGCCCUUGCCAUGACCGGGGCGUCCUGCGGGAGGCUGGAUCAGAGUGGGAGGAGGACUGUCUGUCAUGCAGCUGUGUGAACGGGAGGAAACUGUGCCGGCUGAGGUGCCCUCCACUGUACUGUGAUGAGGGGGAGGUGAAGGUGGAAGAACCAGGCAGCUGCUGCCCCGUGUGUAGAAAGCAGUUUCCAGGUGAGCCUGUGCAAGAGUGUCAUCGCUAUGUGCAGGUCCGCAACAUCACCAAGGGAGACUGUCGACUUGACAAUGUGGAGGUCAGCUUCUGCAGGGGACGCUGCCUGUCCAGGACUGAUGUCAUCCUGGAGGAGCCGUAUCUCCAGUCGGUGUGUGAGUGCUGCAGCUACCGCCUGGACCCGAACACCCCGGUGCGCUUCCUCAGCCUGCAGUGUGAGAGUGGAGAGAGCGAGCCGGUUGUCCUGCCAGUCAUACACAGCUGCGAGUGCACUAGCUGCCAAGGAGGCGAUCUGUCCCGACGCUGAGCGAGUCUGUUGGACGUGUCUGCGAACGCACCGCAGAGAGAACAGUGUGAAGUCCAAAGCACCAAGGAGCACCUCGCUAAAAGCCAGCUGGGUGAUAGAUGGAGGAUUCUGGGUGGACGGAUGGAUGAGUGGAAAAAGUCCCUGCUGAUAAACACAGUGCUCUGUAGUGCUCAGUCACCAAAUGACUGGAUCUUACUGCUGAUCGUAUAUUUCUUACAUAUUCUGCAGCCUGUACAUUCUACUGUGUAUUUAUAGAUUAAAGAUCCUAUG
Maylandia zebra (zebra mbuna) is the source of this 794-nucleotide non-coding RNA. The record is from RefSeq and is a predicted model, not a curated record. NCBI's taxonomy places the organism in Eukaryota, Metazoa, Chordata, Actinopteri, Cichliformes, Cichlidae.